UCACUAGUUCCGACUGCAAAUUGUGGUGAACCCUGCUCGCAGCGCUAACUGUUAGGUUCUAAUUAUCAGAGUAAGAACUCAACGGACACUAUGAAAGCUCAAACCAAGUUUAUUCUUCCCAAAGGAUCGAACAGCUGAACAGACAGACAACACAUUCUUCACACAAGCACUCACAUUUAUCCCUUUCUCCUAUGCUGAGUCUCCUCCUACACUGAGUCUCCUCCUACAUAUCUGAACAGCCAAUGCAUCUCUGUUGCUAGACAGAACCUUAGUGAUAUGUUCUUCCUCACUUCAUCUGACCUGUCCUCUGCCCCAAAGUGCUCACUACUCCCCAACUCACGGCUGUCAUGGUGACUGGUACCAGACUGUCUCUUCUCCCAGAGGAUCCCUGAUGGCUAACAACAACAACAUAUCCUGACAAUGUAAACGUUAUACAUUAACCUCUCUCUCUCAGUGACAUGAAUUAGUAUAUUUAAUAUUCUCAGAACCCAACCGUAUCAACCCGUAAGGCAUACGGUCAAAUGAUUUGCUGCUGGUAAAUGGGCAUAACACACUCAUCAUUACACUAUUGUCUUUCUAAAUUAAAAUCAACAUUUAUCAUUGUUAGGCCUAAUUUAAAUUCAACUGUGAAGUAAGGUGCACAAUUAUCACACAUUUGUCAUUAAUUCAGUGAGGAGAGAGAGACGCAUUAGCACCUGGCUGGGUACCAAUGUCCUACAGCACAUUGUCUUGGCGGAUUAAGUUAGCAAUAAGUGUGGGGGUGAAAAAAAACGGGUAAAAAGACUAAAUACUUUUCUGUUUGUGAUUUAAAAAUGAGCAGACAUUUAGGAAAUGUCAGGGAUGGAGCAGGAUUUAUUUUUUUGGGCUGCUUUUUAAUUUAUUUACCAAAUCAAAUGGCUGGCAGUUGGCCUAUGGCGGUUCUAGUGUUAAAGGGAUACUUUGGGAUUUUGGCAAUGGUAAACAUUUUAUGUCUCUGCAUCCAGUAUGAAGGAAGUUUAGAGGUCAUUUCACAAGCCAAUGCUAACUAGAGUUAGCGCAAUGACUGGGAGUCUAUGGUAUCUCCUAGCAUGCUAGCAACUUCCUUCAAACUACACGCAGACAUAUCAAAUCAAAUCAAAUCAAAUCGAUUUAUAUAGCCCUUCGUACAUCAGCUGAUAUCUAAAAGUGCUGUACAGAAACCCAGCCUAAAAUCCCAAACAGCAAGCAAUGCAGGUGUAGAAGCACGGUGGCUAGGAAAAACUCCCUAGAAAGGCCAAAACCUAGGACCUAGGAAGAAACCUAGAGAGGAACCAGGCUAUGUGGGGUGGCCAGUCCUCUUCUGGCUGUGCCGGGUGGAGAUUAUAACAGAACAUGGCCAAGAUGUUCAAAUGUUCAUAAAUGACCAGCAUGGUUGUAUAAUAAUAAGGCAGAACAGUUGAAACUGGAGCAGCAGCACGGUCAGAUGGACUGGGGACAGCAAGGAGUCAUCAUGUCAGGUAGUCCUGGGGCAUGGUCCUAGGGCUCAGGUCCUCCGAGAGAGAGAAAGAAAGAGAGGAGGAGAGAAUUAGAGAACGCACACUUAGAUUCACACAGGACACCGAAUAGGACAGGAGAAGUACUCCAGAUAUAACAAACUGACCCUAGCCCCCCGACACAUAAACUACUGCAGCAUAAAUACUGGAGGCUGAGACAGGAGGGGUCAGGAGACACUGUGGCCCCAUCCGAGGACACCCCCGGACAGGGCCAAACAGGAAGGAUAUAACCCCACCCACUUUGCCAAAGCACAGCCCCC
This is a long non-coding RNA of Oncorhynchus tshawytscha (Chinook salmon), 1771 nucleotides long. NCBI's taxonomy places the organism in Eukaryota, Metazoa, Chordata, Actinopteri, Salmoniformes, Salmonidae. The record is from Ensembl.